UGCCAGCCGCCGCGGUAAUACAGAGGGUGCGAGCGUUAAUCGGAAUCAUUGGGCAUAAAGGGUGCGUAGGUGGCAAUUUAAGUCAGAUGUGAAAUCCCAGGGCUUAACCUUGGAAUUGCAUUUGAAACUGGAUAGCUAGAGUACAGUAGAGGGAAGUGGAAUUUCCGGUGUAGCGGUGAAAUGCGUAGAUAUCGGAAGGAACACCAGUGGCGAAGGCGGCUUCCUGGACAGAUACUGACGCUGAGGCACGAAAGCGUGGGGAGCAAACAGGAUUAGAUA
Molecule: ribosomal RNA, 279 nt
Filed under: uncultured bacterium
Lineage: Bacteria
Description: partial 16S ribosomal RNA
Rfam family: Bacterial small subunit ribosomal RNA
Source: RNAcentral